Long non-coding RNA from Coturnix japonica (Japanese quail), 693 nucleotides. RefSeq lists it as uncharacterized. The record is from RefSeq and is a predicted model, not a curated record. NCBI's taxonomy places the organism in Eukaryota, Metazoa, Chordata, Aves, Galliformes, Phasianidae.
UUAUAAGGACAGAAAACCACACUGACUGCCUUACAAGCCACUGCAGAAAGGUGGACUCUCCAAGCACUUAUUGUUGGAGGCCAGUUACAAGAAUAAAAAGGAGAUCAUUCGCAUUCCUCACUCUCCACAAAGGAUGAAGUCUAUUUUAAAAGAAGCCUAUAAAAGCAGAAGCAAUUGACAGUACUUUCUGGGACAGCAAUAGCUGCAGAAAACUGCACAGUGGUUCAGCAUCUGCAAAUUGCAGAGCCCUUCCCUCUGUGGGAUUCACAAUUCUCCCCUCAGCCUCACCAAAGCUAAUUGAAAUGGACAACACAAACUAUUGAAGCUCUUAUUUUCAGAGAAAGAAGAAAAACAACAAGAGAAACAUUUAUAUCAAUGACACACUAUUUAACAAAAGACAACAAACAACAAACCUCCAACUUCAGAUACUGCAGAAAACCAUCAUCCUGUGACCAACAACUGCAGAAUGCCUGAGUGUUGGUACAAGAUGGGUUUGCAAAGGCACUUCACAUCCUUCCUCUGCGACGCUGAGAUGGAGAGCUGACUUCACAAUUUCACAAUAUACCAAAUAGGUUUAACUUCUUUCUUGUUUGGUUGGUUUUGGCCUCAGUCAGAUAGCCUGGAAAUGGCCAUACAAGUUAGAAAUGUAUUUCAAAUGUAAAUUUGGACCAAAUAAACAAAGUUUUCAAUAGU